AAGUCGUAACAAGGUUUCCGUAGGUGAACCUGCGGAAGGAUCAUUAACAGUUUAUGUUUGUGUCUGUUGUUGUGAUGUGUGUGAUCUGUGACAAUUGCCAUUUGGUUGGCAAUGUUAUUUUUUUUACCAUGUUUUUUAUCACCUGUCUUAUACCAUACCAUAUACAAUUAUCGAAAACUGCCAGCAAUGGAUCACUCGGUUCUU
Molecule: unclassified non-coding RNA, 204 nt
Filed under: fungal sp.
Lineage: Eukaryota; Fungi
Description: partial internal transcribed spacer region
Rfam family: Eukaryotic small subunit ribosomal RNA (bases 1-46)
Source: RNAcentral